GAUGAACGCUGGCGGCGUGCCUAAUACAUGCAAGUCGAGCGAACAGACGAGGAGCUUGCUCCUCUGACGUUAGCGGCGGACGGGUGAGUAACACGUGGAUAACCUACCUAUAAGACUGGGAUAACUUCGGGAAACCGGAGCUAAUACCGGAUAAUAUAUUGAACCGCAUGGUUCAAUAGUGAAAGACGGUUUUGCUGUCACUUAUAGAUGGAUCCGCGCCGCAUUAGCUAGUUGGUAAGGUAACGGCUUACCAAGGCAACGAUGCGUAGCCGACCUGAGAGGGUGAUCGGCCACACUGGAACUGAGACACGGUCCAGACUCCGACGGGAGGCAGCAGUAGGGAAUCUUCCGCAAUGGGCGAAAGCCUGACGGAGCAACGCCGCGUGAGUGAUGAAGGUCUUCGGAUCGUAAAACUCUGUUAUUAGGGAAGAACAAAUGUGUAAGUAACUAUGCACGUCUUGACGGUACCUAAUCAGAAAGCCAGGGCUAACUACGUG
RNAcentral lists this ribosomal RNA (497 nucleotides) under uncultured bacterium. RNAcentral's name for it is "partial 16S ribosomal RNA". It matches the Rfam family "Bacterial small subunit ribosomal RNA", at positions 28 to 507 of the family's 1533-position model. The record is from RNAcentral.